Molecule: non-coding RNA, 112 nt
Organism: Acanthosepion pharaonis
Lineage: Eukaryota; Metazoa; Mollusca; Cephalopoda; Sepiida; Sepiidae
Source: the annotation of a GenBank genome assembly
ACGACUAUAUAACGUUUCAACACCCGUUUCCGUAUGAUCACCGAAGUUAAGCAACGCCAAGACUGGCCAGUACCUAGAUGGCUUACCGCUUGGGAAUACCAGGUGCUGUAAG